GACGAACGCUGGCGGCGUGCUUAACACAUGCAAGUCGAACGGAAAGGCCCUGCUUUUGUGGGGUGCUCGAGUGGCGAACGGGUGAGUAACACGUGAGUAACCUGCCCUUGACUUUGGGAUAACUUCAAGAAACUGGGGCUAAUACCGGAUAGGAGCUCCUGCUGCAUGGUGGGGGUUGGAAAGUUUCGGCGGUUGGGGAUGGACUCGCGGCUUAUCAGCUUGUUGGUGGGGUAGUGGCUUACCAAGGCUUUGACGGGUAGCCGGCCUGAGAGGGUGACCGGCCACAUUGGGACUGAGAUGCGGCCCAGACUCCUACGGGAGGCAGCAGUGGGGAAUAUUGCACAAUGGGCGGAAGCCUGAUGCAGCAACGCCGCGUGCGGGAUGACGGCCUUCGGGUUGUAAACCGCUUUCGCCUGUGACGAAGCGUGAGUGACGGUAAUGGGUAAAGAAGCACCGGCUAACUACGUG
Molecule: ribosomal RNA, 468 nt
Filed under: uncultured bacterium
Lineage: Bacteria
Description: partial 16S ribosomal RNA
Rfam family: Bacterial small subunit ribosomal RNA
Source: RNAcentral